GUUCCCCGCGGGCGCUCCUCCUUCCCGCCACGUUCGCGCCCCCCCAGUUGCGGGAGACCGGGAGUUCUUGAGGGGUUGAAGGAGCGGGCCAGGGGCCAAACGGAGAAGGAACGGCGACAGGGGUGGGGCGCGGACUUCUGUCCGCGUGCGGGACCGCCGAAAGGCCGGAGGAAGCGGCCGGGGGCCAGUCCAAUAGCUUCGAGAGCAAAAGCAGCGUCUGUAUAAACCUGGUGGCCGUGUGCAAGUCCCGACCGCAGCGUGGAAGGAGAAACCCAUCGUGAAAAUCCUCCUCUGAUGGCCAAACAUGCUCUCUGGCAUACAGACGGGCGCGCACACACAAUGAUAGUAAUAAUCAAUUAAACUAAAGUUUUUAACUUAAAA
Peromyscus maniculatus bairdii (prairie deer mouse) is the source of this 381-nucleotide non-coding RNA. NCBI's taxonomy places the organism in Eukaryota, Metazoa, Chordata, Mammalia, Rodentia, Cricetidae. The record is from RefSeq and is a predicted model, not a curated record.